GAGCACUGAAACUGGCAAUUGGCAAAGACUACCGGACAUGUGGGAUGAAAGGGCGUGCCAUGCAUCAAUUGCCACAGAAGGCAGUGUCAUUGUUUUUGGUGGAAGAGGACAUCAUGGAAGAUUACUUUCUUCCGUCGAAGAGUAUGACUUAAAGAAGAACGAAUGGAAGCAGCUAAACUCAAUGCCGGAGCCAAGAAUGGGCAUGGCUGCAGUGGUGAAGAAUAAAUGCAUAUGGCUUUUGGGAGGAAUGUCUGAGAGGCCCAAUGGCCCUGCUGUUUCUGAAGUUCUUCUGUAUUCACUACAGCAUGACAGGCAAGUUUUUGUAUUUCACACCUUUCUAUGCUCUAGUCUCAUAUUUUUUGUGCAUACAUAAAGGGUGUUUACUUUAUUUCUAACAGCUGGACUCAAGGUAUACCGCUCAGGCUACCUCGAGCCUUUUCAUCUGCAACUCUCAUCAAUGGCAACAUCUGGCUCUGUGGUGGCUGCAGAACAGCAAAUGAAGAGGAGCACCCUGUCAGCAUGAACUCUAUUGAUGUGUGCUCCAAGCACUCAGAAUGGAAAAAAACUUGCAAGCUUGCAGUGGCCAGGCAUAGUGCUUCUAUUGCAACCAUAGGUUCAUGCAUAUUCAUCAUGGGUGGCAUCAACAGCCAAGAAUGGGGUGUACUUUCCAAGAACACAUUGAUUGUUACUGACCGGAAUGCGAUAUUAUCACCGAGCCCAAUGCCUCAAGAAGUUGCUGGACACACUGCUGUCACUGUGUUGCCCUCUGCUAGUCGGCAUCCAAUUCCCAGCAUCAAGUGGAGCAACACCAUAUUUGAAAGGCUUACGUGAUGCCUGCUUGCGGCCACAAAAAUAAAAAUAAAAAAUUGCAGACAUUCAGCAUUCUGAUGGCAACC
Long non-coding RNA from Dermacentor silvarum, 896 nucleotides. RefSeq lists it as uncharacterized. Lineage: Eukaryota; Metazoa; Arthropoda; Arachnida; Ixodida; Ixodidae. The record is from RefSeq and is a predicted model, not a curated record. The transcript has 3 exons.